This 496-nucleotide ribosomal RNA is filed under the name uncultured bacterium. RNAcentral's name for it is "partial 16S ribosomal RNA". It matches the Rfam family "Bacterial small subunit ribosomal RNA", at positions 29 to 507 of the family's 1533-position model. The record is from RNAcentral.
AUGAACGCUGGCGGCGUGCCUAAUACAUGCAAGUCGAGCGAACAGACGAGGAACUUGCUCCUCUGACGUUAGCGGCGGACGGGUGAGUAACACGUGGAUAACCUACCUAUAAGACUGGGAUAACUUCGGGAAACCGGAGCUAAUACCGGAUAAUAUAUUGAACCGCAUGGUUCAAUAGUGAAAGACGGUUUUGCUGUCACUUAUAGAUGGAUCCGCGCCGCAUUAGCUAGUUGGUAAGGUAACGGCUUACCAAGGCAACGAUGCGUAGCCGACCUGAGAGGGUGAUCGGCCACACUGGAACUGAGACACGGUCCAGACUCCUACGGGAGGCAGCAGUAGGGAAUCUUCCGCAAUGGGCGAAAGCCUGACGGAGCAACGCCGCGUGAGUGAUGAAGGUCUUCGGAUCGUAAAACUCUGUUAUUAGGGAAGAACAAAUGUGUAAGUAACUAUGCACGUCUUGACGGUACCUAAUCAGAAAGCCACGGCUAACUACGUG